AACGAACGCUGGCGGCAGGCUUAACACAUGCAAGUCGAACGCAUCCUUCGGGGUGAGUGGCAGACGGGUGAGUAACGCGUGGGAACGUGCCCUUCAGUUCGGGAUAACCCAGGGAAACUUGGGCUAAUACCGGAUACGUGCGAGAGCAGAAAGAUUCAUCGCUGAAAGAUCGGCCCGCGUCUGAUUAGCUAGUUGGUGGGGUAAUGGCCCACCAAGGCGACGAUCAGUAGCUGGUCUGAGAGGAUGAUCAGCCACAUUGGGACUGAGACACGGCCCAAACUCCUACGGGAGGCAGCAGUGGGGAAUAUUGGACAAUGGGCGCAAGCCUGAUCCAGCCAUGCCGCGUGAGUGAUGAAGGCCUUAGGGUUGUAAAGCUCUUUCGUCCGGGACGAUAAUGACGGUACCGGAAGAAGAAGCCCCGGCUAACUUCGUGCCAGCCGCCGCGGUAA
RNAcentral lists this ribosomal RNA (449 nucleotides) under uncultured bacterium. RNAcentral describes it as "partial 16S ribosomal RNA". It matches the Rfam family "Bacterial small subunit ribosomal RNA", at positions 29 to 523 of the family's 1533-position model. The record is from RNAcentral.